This 253-nucleotide ribosomal RNA is filed under the name uncultured archaeon. RNAcentral's name for it is "partial 16S ribosomal RNA". It matches the Rfam family "Archaeal small subunit ribosomal RNA", at positions 474 to 727 of the family's 1478-position model. The record is from RNAcentral.
AACCAGCACCUCAAGUGGUCAGGAGGAUUAUUGGGCCUAAAGCAUCCGUAGCCGGCUCUGUAAGUUUUCGGUUAAAUCCAUGUGCUCAACGCAUGGGCUGCCGAAAAUACUGCAGAGCUAGGGAGUGGGAGAGGUAGACGGUACUCGGUAGGAAGGGGUAAAAUCCUUUGAUCUAUCGAUGACCACCUGUGGCGAAGGCGGUCUACCAGAACACGUUCGACGGUGAGGGAUGAAAGCUGGGGGAGCAAACCGG